ACUACGGGUGGCAGCAGUGAGGAAUAUUGGUCAAUGGGAGAGAUCCUGAACCAUCCCCGCCGCUUGCGUUCCUCCUUCCCUCUUUUUUUUCCCCCUCUUUUUUCUUACAACACAACCCGGGACGUGUCCCGGACUGCGUGUAUCCGAAGAAAAAGCAUCGGCUAACUCCGUGCAAGCAGCCGCGGUAAUACGGAGGAUGCGAGCGUUAUCCGGAUUUAUUGGGUUUAAAGGGUGCGUAGGCGGUCCGUUAAGUCAGCGGUAAAAUUGCGGGGCUAAAGCCCGUCGAGCCGUUGAUACUGGCAGACUUGAGUUGGCGAGAAGUACGCGGAAUGUGCGGUGUAGCGGUGAAAUGCAUAGAUAUCGCGCAGAACUCCGAUUGCGAAGGCAGCGUACCGGCGCCAGACUGACGCUGAGGCACGAAAGCGUGGGGAUCGAACAGGAUUAGAUACCCAUGUAGUC
RNAcentral lists this ribosomal RNA (459 nucleotides) under uncultured bacterium. RNAcentral describes it as "partial 16S ribosomal RNA". It matches the Rfam family "Bacterial small subunit ribosomal RNA", at positions 338 to 795 of the family's 1533-position model. The record is from RNAcentral.